UGGCUCAGAACGAACGCUGGCGGCGCGUUUAAGCAUGCAAGUCGAGCGGCAGGGGGGCCUCGGUCCCCCGAGAGCGGGCGGACGGGUGAGUAACACGUGGACAACCUGCCCCCCGGUUCGGGAUAGCCCAGGGAAACCUGGAUCAAUACCGGAUGCGAGGGCGGCCGCACAAGCGGCCGUCGGGAAAGGCGCUUCGGCGCCGCCGGGGGAUGGGUCCGCGUCCCAUUAGCUAGACGGUGGGGUAACGGCCCACCGUGGCGAUGAUGGGUAGCCGGCCUGAGAGGGUGGACGGCCACAUUGGAACUGAGACACGGUCCAGACUCCUACGGGAGGCAGCAGCUAAGAAUCUUCCGCAAUGGGCGAAAGCCUGACGGAGCGACGCCGCGUGAACGAAGAAGGCCGUGAGGUUGUAAAGUUCUUUUCGGGAGGGGGAACGAGGGCUGCCAGGCAAUGGGCGGCCGAUGACGUGAAUCCCGGAAUAAGCCCCGGCUAACUACGUGCCAGCAGCAGC
This 511-nucleotide ribosomal RNA is filed under the name uncultured bacterium. RNAcentral's name for it is "bacterial SSU rRNA". It matches the Rfam family "Bacterial small subunit ribosomal RNA", at positions 20 to 518 of the family's 1533-position model. The record is from RNAcentral.